CAGGCUUUCAGUGUACAUUACAGGAAGAGGCUUUGUGGGCAAAAGCAUAUCUUAAGGAACUUGAAGAAAUGAUAAAAAUUGUAGCCAAGAUUCCUCCUCACAUUUAAAUGACUUGAACACCAAAUUACAGGGAUGUGGUAAAACACUUGAUGUUAUGUUUGAUAAUAUGAAUGCCUUUGAUAUCAAACUGCGUAUAUCAGUGUGAUGCUCUCUGAAGAAGGGUUUCGGCCCGAAACGUCGACUGUCUGCUCAUCUUCCUGGAUGCUAAUUCCUCCAGCAUUUUGUGUACGUUGCAUUGAGAGCCCAGACUCCAUGCACACAGAAGCGAAUGCGUCACAAACUACCAACCCACCCACUCCAGUAGGCACCACCUACUUCAGCGGUAGAAGAUUCUAUACUGAUCUCAUUCGUCAUCCUGGAACCCACAAAACUGGAGUGGGGUGAAGUCAUCUCUGAUCCCAGGGAACCACCUACAAAGCAGGAGAUGAUGAUUCCAGGACAGCUGCAGCUGUCAUUAGGCAUAAAAGUGUCCAGUUUCCAAUUUUUAGAAAAACUGUUUAAACUAAACUGAAGAUAACCAUGCAAGAACAGAGAAGACAGGAACAGAGGAAAUGUCCUGGGUCCAGCAUGCAAAUGCCAUUACAAAGAACGCAAGACAGCGCCUCUACUUUUAGAAGUUUGCGAAGAUUCAGCACGUCGUCUAAAACUUGGACAAACUUCUACAGAUGUGUGGUGGAGAAUGUACCGACUGGUUACAUCACGGCCUAGUAUGGAAAUAGCAAUUUUCCUUGGACAAAAUACCUACAACAAAAAUGUAGUGGAUACGGCCCAGUCCAUCGUGGGCAAAACCCUCCCCACCAUCGAGCCACAAGGAGUGCUGUUGCAGGAAAGCAGCAUCCAUCAAGGACCGCACUACGCAGGCCAUGCUCUCUUCUCAUGGCUGCUCUCAGGGAGGUGGUACAGGAGCCUCAGGACCCAUACCACCAGGCCCAGGAACAGUUAUUAUCCCUCAACCAUCAGAUUCUUGAACCAGAGGGGAUAACUUCACCCACCCAAUACUGAACUGUUUCCACAACCUAUGAACUCACUUUCACAGACUCCUAAUCUCAUGUUCUCGAUAUUUAUUACUUUCUUUAAAAAAAAACUUACUUUGUAUUUCAAUUUGUCGUCUUUUGCACACUGGUUGUUUAUGUAUCUUGUUGUGUGCAUUUUUUUCAUUGAUUCUAUUGCGUUUCUUGUAUUUACUGUGAAUGCCCACAAAGUGAA
Molecule: long non-coding RNA, 1266 nt
Organism: Mobula hypostoma (lesser devil ray)
Lineage: Eukaryota; Metazoa; Chordata; Chondrichthyes; Myliobatiformes; Myliobatidae
Exons: 5
Source: RefSeq, a predicted model, not a curated record